Molecule: long non-coding RNA, 1455 nt
Organism: Labeo rohita (rohu)
Lineage: Eukaryota; Metazoa; Chordata; Actinopteri; Cypriniformes; Cyprinidae
Exons: 3
Source: RefSeq, a predicted model, not a curated record
GUAUUUAGAUGUUUGAAACGUACACUGUUAACAAUUGAUGUAAUUUUUACAAUAAAUUUUACAACAACGUAUUGUAUUCAUGUUUUUGCUGUAAAUACAAAAGCAUGAUGGGAAAUUUACGAGCAGUCCUGUAAUAUUAUUGUAACUACACUGUAGAAGCAUUAUUGUACAGCAACCGCGUAGUAUUCUGGGAUCGUGGCUGUUUGAAUUUUGAAAUUACGCGGCCAACGGUAACAGAACAUUUUUGAAAGAAGGAACACGUCUCAGGUUUGUAACAUAAAAUCUGUUUUAUAAGUCUACAGAUAUAUUGAUAUAGGUGAUCUGAGUGAGUGCUGAUUGUUUCGUUUGGUAUAUUUUGGUUUUAUAUUUUCAGACUGUGAUUGGCUACAAUGAUCAGCGCUUCACGUUUCUCACCGAGACGUCGUGAAUGGUCAACACCGAAGAAAAAUACAAUCUGAGCGGCAGCAGCUGUAACGCGGCGCUGGAUCACCUGCACACAGGAUAAAUUAGCUGAAUUAUUUCAGCGAUUGAUUUGCUGUCGAUUUAAUCGAACGCCAUCUCCUCGACUCACCACUGAUCGCUUGGAACCUCGACGGAGGUGAUACGGAAAAACUUGGGAGAGCCACUAAGCGCAGACAAGUGGAUGAUGUCCAUUGAAGGAACGAUUGUGAUGGGGCCCCACAACAAUCUUUUGAAUGGAGUGGCAGCGACCUUUUCUGCUUACUAUGUGUUCAACUUGCAGUAUCCUAAAGAAGCCUCCAGCACUCUUGAAUUUGUCCAAAGAGCUUUUUGCAGAAUCAACUCCCAGACGGGCAGCAAAGCAGAGAAGAGACACAAGCUCAAUGCACUUGUCUGCACCCUCUUAAGAAAACUCCUGGACUUUGAGUUGAUGGGCUAGUAUUGAUGCCCCCCACCCCCCAUAGCUGGCAGGGCGCCUUUGUUGUAUAUCACCAUGUUCCCUCUGAUGAUAGGCUGUUUGGACGUCUGGAAGUGAGCUAGAUUCUUCAGUGAAACUGUGAUUUGUUUAUAUGAAAAUGAAAUGUGGAUACUUUGUUUGGAAAAAAGUUUUAAUUCUGUAAUAUGUGCUGUUGCGUAUUAUUUUAAUAAAAAUAGAGAAGUUGAAGUUGUUUUUGUUUUAAUUGUGAAGUGAUUACAGCUUUUAUUGUAACAUUAAUAAAUAACAGAAUAUACAGUGUAUACAAUUACAAUAUUUAAUUGUAAUUCUCUCCUGUGAAAUUACAGGAAAUUCCUGGCAACUGAGUUGCAGUAAAUUAUAAGAAAUUACAGCAUUUUACUGUAAUAAUUCACUAUAAUCACAGUAACACUGCUGUAUAAAUACAGUACUUUAUUGUAAUAAAAACACAGUACAUAACCUGUAUAUUUCUUGCGGUAAAUUCACGGCAAUUAGUUGCCAGGAAUUUCCUGUAAAUUUACAAUAAAUUUUUAACAGUGUAU